RNAcentral lists this long non-coding RNA (268 nucleotides) under Chrysolophus pictus (golden pheasant). Its description in RNAcentral is "lncRNA (ENSCPIG00010013073.1)". The record is from RNAcentral. Lineage: Eukaryota; Metazoa; Chordata; Aves; Galliformes; Phasianidae.
GAGGGCUGUGAUGGCUGCUAAUUGAAAUUCAGCUGUUAUUUUGGCUGUUUUUUUUUCCAGAGAACAUAACUAGGAAGACAUUCCAAAAAGGACUGCGUGGUAUUUAGAGGUCUGGGUACCAGCUGUAAUGUGCACAUACUUGCAGAGACUUCUGUUCUGCUAAAGCUGUGGACUCAGGAUCCUUAAUCAAAGUGGUGGCUCAGAAGCAGACUGUUCAGUCUCCAGUGACUCAGACGAGAAGUGCAGUGGCAAACACCUGUCUGGGGUA